AGCAGCCGCGGUAAUUCCAGCUCCAAUAGCGUAUAUUAAAGUUGUUGCAGUUAAAAAGCUCGUAGUUGAAUUUCGGGGUCAGUAGAUUGGUCGUGCCUCUGGUACGUACUGGUCUUACUGGCUCCUCCUUCCUGAUGAACCGUAAUGCCAUUAAUUUGGUGUUGCGGGGAGACUGGACUGUUACUUUGAAAAAUUAGAGUGUUUAAAGCAGGCUAACGCUUGAAUACAUUAGCAUGGAAUAAUGAAAUAGGACGUUCGAUCUUAUUUUGUUGGUUUCUAAGAUUGACGUAAUGAUUAAUAGGGAUAGUUGGGGGCAUUAGUAUUCAAUUGUCAGAGGUGAAAUUCUUGGAUUUAUUGAAGACUAACUACUGCGAAAGCAUUUGCCAAGGAUGUUUUCAUUAAUC
RNAcentral lists this ribosomal RNA (404 nucleotides) under uncultured Glomus. RNAcentral's name for it is "SSU rRNA". It matches the Rfam family "Eukaryotic small subunit ribosomal RNA", at positions 569 to 978 of the family's 1831-position model. The record is from RNAcentral. Lineage: Eukaryota; Fungi; Glomeromycota; Glomeromycetes; Glomerales; Glomeraceae.